CCCUUAGAUGUCCUGGGCUGUACGCGCGCUACACUGGAAGUUACGGAUUGAGAUACUACCUUGUCCGAAAUGGUCCGGGUAAUCACCUAAAAGCUUGUCAUAAUUGGAAUGGAUUAUUGUAACUAGUAAUCCUGAACGAGGAAUUCCUAGUAAGUCCCAGUCAACAGCUGGUACUGAUUACGUCCCUGCCCUUUGUACACACCGCCCGUCGCUACUACUGAUUGGACGUUUAAGCAAGAUUUUUAAACACUGACAGUGUGUAGUUCACGCUAUACUACAGUGAGAAGAAGAAGAUCGAGCUUACUUGUCUAGAGGAAGUAAAAGUCGUAACA
Molecule: ribosomal RNA, 332 nt
Filed under: uncultured eukaryote
Lineage: Eukaryota
Description: partial 18S ribosomal RNA
Rfam family: Eukaryotic small subunit ribosomal RNA
Source: RNAcentral